UCGGGACCUAAGCCGAGGCCGAAAGGCGUAGGUGAUGGACAACAGGUUGAUAUUCCUGUACCACCAAUAACCGUUUGAGGAAUGGGAUGACACAGUAGGAUAAGCUAACCACACUGUUGGUUAUGUGUGGCUAAGUACUGAGGCAGUCAAGAUAGGCAAAUCCGUCUUGAUAAUGCUAGGGUACGAUGGGGAGCUCUUUAGAGCGAAGUAGCUGAUUUCACACUGUCGAGAAAAGUCUCUACCGAGGUUAAAGGUGCCCGUACCGUAAACCGACACAGGUGGGUGAGGAGAGUAUCCUAAGGCCAGCGAGAGAACUAUUGUUAAGGAACUCGGCAAAAUGACCCCGUAACUUAGGGAUAAGGGGUGCCAUCCUUUGGAUGGCCGCAGAGAAUAGGCCCAAGCGACUGUUUACCAAAAACACAGGUUUCUGCUAAGUCGCAAGACGAUGUAUAGGAGCUGACGCCUGCCCGGUGCUGGAAGGUUAAGGGGAUCUGUUAGGAGUAAUCCGAAGCAGUGAACUUAAGCCCCAGUAAACGGCGGCCGUAACUAUAACGGUCCUAAGGUAGCGAAAUUCCUUGUCGGGUAAGUUCCGACCCGCACGAAAGGCGUAACGAUUUGGGCACUGUCUCAACAAUAGACUCGGUGAAAUUGUAAUCCCGGUGAAGAUGCCGGGUACCUGCGACAGGACGGAAAGACCCCAUGGAGCUUUACUGUAGCUUGACGUUGGGUCUUGGUACUACAUGUACAGGAUAGGUGGGAGACUAUGAAGCAUGGACGCCAGUCUGUGUGGAGUCAUCCUUGGGAUACCACCCUUGUAGUACUGGGAUCCUAACCAGAGGCCUUGAAUCAGGUCUUGGGACACCGUCAGGUGGGCAGUUUGACUGGGGCGGUCGCCUCCCAAAAAGUAACGGAGGCGCUCAAAGGUUUCCUCAGCACGGUCGGAAAUCGUGCGAAGAGUGUAAAGGCAAAAGGAAGCUUGAUUGCAAGACAUACAGGUCGAGCAAGGACGAAAGUCGGACUUAGUGAUCCGGUGGUUCCGCAUGGAAGGGCCAUCGCUCAACGGAUAAAAGCUACCCUGGGGAUAACAGGCUUAUCUCCCCCAAGAGUCCACAUCGACGGGGAGGUUUGGCACCUCGAUGUCGGCUCAUCACAUCCUGGGGCUGUAGUAGGUCCCAAGGGUUGGGCUGUUCGCCCAUUAAAGUGGUACGCGAGCUGGGUUCAGAACGUCGUGAGACAGUUCGGUCCCUAUCCGUCGCAGGCGUAGGAAAUUUGAGGAGACCUGUCCUUAGUACGAGAGGACCGGGAUGGACGUACCUCUGGUGUACCAGUUGUUCUGCCAAGGGCAUGGCUGGGUAGCUAUGUACGGAAUGGAUAAGCGCUGAAAGCAUCUAAGCGCGAAGCCAACUUCAAGAUAAGAUUUCCCACCGUAAGGGUAAGACCCCAGGAAGACUACCUGGUUGAUAGGUCGAAGGUGUAAGUGCAGUAAUGUAUUUAGCUUAUCGAUACUAAUAGGUCGAGGACUUGACCU
This 1528-nucleotide ribosomal RNA is filed under the name Romboutsia sp. MT17. RNAcentral describes it as "bacterial LSU rRNA". It matches the Rfam family "Bacterial large subunit ribosomal RNA", at positions 1384 to 2925 of the family's 2925-position model. Lineage: Bacteria; Bacillati; Bacillota; Clostridia; Peptostreptococcales; Peptostreptococcaceae. The record is from RNAcentral.